GAAAACUGCUUAUUUAUUAAGGAUAAAAAUAAUAUUUCCUAGAGACUUGACUUUUUAAUAUCCAAAGAAGCAUAAAAACAAUAUCGGUAUACUACCUUUGACAGAAGAAUUGUGUUCUGCAGAAAUCCAUGCCCAUGAACAGAAAGCUCAAGAUAAUUUGUCAGUUCUAGUGCAAUUCUUGUUUCUUUAUUCCCAUCAUCCAAACUACUUAAUGCCUUCUGGGAUCUGCUUUUAACACACACACAGCCCCCUGGCCUCCUAGGACUGAUCCCAAGGAUCUUGGUUGGGCUUAUAUACUGAACUCUGCCUUACAUUUUAGAGUGCUU
Molecule: long non-coding RNA, 326 nt
Filed under: Gallus gallus (chicken)
Lineage: Eukaryota; Metazoa; Chordata; Aves; Galliformes; Phasianidae
Source: RNAcentral